RNAcentral lists this long non-coding RNA (271 nucleotides) under Manihot esculenta (cassava). Its description in RNAcentral is "long non-coding RNA (MESC_LNC008352)". The record is from RNAcentral. Lineage: Eukaryota; Viridiplantae; Streptophyta; Magnoliopsida; Malpighiales; Euphorbiaceae.
AAGCAGGAACGGCCCACUUAGACCUUUCUAAUGUCUGAGUGGAGUGAAAGAAAUGGUUCAGCAAAGUCUGAAGAGACUUAUUUAUUAUUUCAUUGUUUAUUUGUUUCUCCUCCCUCUUUCUAUUGUGCAGGCGAAACAGAGAAAAUCUGAUGUUUGUAAGGAAAGAUCUGUUGGAAAAUGAUUCAUCUAUCCAUCAAGAACAGAAAAAUUCGAUAAAAAAAAAAAGAACAGAAAAAACAAAACAUAAAAGUAGGGUGAUGUAAGUUUCAUC